CCGGGCGGCCGGAGCGCGGGGCGCGCAGAGGGCUGCACGACUGCCGACGGAGGAGGAGGAAGAGGAGGAGGAGGAGCAGAUGAGGUAACUGAGGUACAGAGAAGUGAAGUGUCUUUCCCAAGGUCAUACAACAGAAGAAGAUUUACGUCUUUACAUCUGACAUGCAGACACAUCGAGACGUCUCUCUGGAUCCUGGGCAUUUUUCUCUGAGGAGAAAAUUGUGGUCAUUGAACGGAUGGAGCCUGGUGAGAGGUUUUUCUGGACAGAAUCCUGCACAUUUCUGGGCAUGAGGAAGCAUACUCUCCCAGAUUUUGGAUGAGGCAUGUAAUUGUUUCAUAGACCCAACUUAAAAAAGAAGAAAUUGAAAAUAGUUUUCCACGAACCACAUAUGCAAUUGAUCUCCAAUAGAAGACUGCUCACUGAAAACUGGUGUCGUUUAUUCUCCUAAUGAUUUUCAACCUGAAGGCUGCUGGCCCUAUCCCAUGUGUAUUUGGCCUGAGGAAAUGCAAAGAAGCUGGAAGUGACUUUUGGAGCCAAGUGCCAUCUUGACCCAGAAUCCAACUCAGUCAGUUCCACAGCUCCCAACCAGCAGGGGAAAGUCAGGAACCAGAGUUUGCCUCUUGGAUUCCCUUCAGAUGCUACUUUCACCGUAACAACCAGGAACCCUUCACCUCCUGACUGGUCUUGGCAGAGGAAGAAGUGGAUAGUGGUAUUUCUCAAGUAAUAGGCAUAAUAAUGAUAGAAUUUAUUGUGCAUCAUGCAGUGUGCUGUUUGGGAAUUUCUAAAACAAGCAAGUGACCAAUUCUCUACCCCCUAACUAUGCUCUAAUGGAGGGAGACAGAUGUAAAAGUAUCUACAAGCAGAGUAAUUAAAGGAAGCCACUGAAUGUA
Tachyglossus aculeatus (Australian echidna) is the source of this 890-nucleotide long non-coding RNA. RefSeq lists it as uncharacterized. Lineage: Eukaryota; Metazoa; Chordata; Mammalia; Monotremata; Tachyglossidae. The record is from RefSeq and is a predicted model, not a curated record. The transcript is spliced from 5 exons.